AAACAAUCGCUGAUGAGGAAUAGUAGUUUUGACUGGACAUGUAGAGAGCCGGCGGGUGGUGCAAGCCGGUUGACAGUGCAAAGCGAACUCACCUCGGAGAUAUGCGUCCAACGCAGGAAAGCACUAUAUCGGUGUUAGCAUUCUGUUAUUAACAUGCAUCGGAUCACCUCCGUUAUCAGGUGCAAAGGGAGUAGAAUGCGAAGAACGCUUUCUGCUAACUAGGGUGGUACCACGGGAAUAUAACCUCUCGUCCCUAGC
Molecule: non-coding RNA, 258 nt
Filed under: Paenibacillus polymyxa
Lineage: Bacteria; Bacillati; Bacillota; Bacilli; Caryophanales; Paenibacillaceae
Description: T-box sequence
Rfam family: T-box leader
About the family: Uncharged tRNA acts as the effector for transcription antitermination of genes in the T-box leader family. T-boxes are found upstream of many aminoacyl-tRNA synthetase genes and some amino acid biosynthetic genes usually in Gram-positive bacteria.
Source: RNAcentral